GUGCCAUCAGCCGCGGUAAUACACAGCGGCUAACCGUUCUCCGGAUUUAUUGGGCGUAAAGAGCUCGUAGGCGGUUCAACAAGUCGGUCGUAAAAGUUUAGGGCUCAACCCUAAAAUGUCGAUCGAUACUGUUGUGACUAGGAUACGGUAGAGGUGAAUGGAAUUCCGAGUGUAGCGGUGAAAUGCGUAGAUAUUCGGAGGAACACCAAUUGCGAAGGCAGUUCACUGGACCGUGAUCGACGCUGAGGAGCGAAGGCUAGGGGAGCAAACAGGAUUAGCUA
RNAcentral lists this ribosomal RNA (281 nucleotides) under uncultured bacterium. RNAcentral describes it as "partial 16S ribosomal RNA". It matches the Rfam family "Bacterial small subunit ribosomal RNA", at positions 505 to 784 of the family's 1533-position model. The record is from RNAcentral.